ACAAGUUCCCAGGUGAUGCUGAUGUUGC
This 28-nucleotide microRNA is filed under the name Canis lupus familiaris (dog). RNAcentral describes it as "miRNA (ENSCAFG00000050087.1, ENSCAFG00000058416.1)". The record is from RNAcentral. RNAcentral also lists the same sequence under 1 other name. Lineage: Eukaryota; Metazoa; Chordata; Mammalia; Carnivora; Canidae.